Molecule: ribosomal RNA, 448 nt
Filed under: uncultured bacterium
Lineage: Bacteria
Description: partial 16S ribosomal RNA
Rfam family: Bacterial small subunit ribosomal RNA
Source: RNAcentral
UCCAGACUCCUACGGGAGGCAGCAGUGGGGAAUAUUGCACAAUGGGGGAAACCCUGAUGCAGCGACGCCGCGUGGGCGACGAAGCGCUCCGGCGCGUAAAGCCCUGUCAGCAGGGAAGAACAAAGACAGUACCUGACCAAGAAGCCCCGGCUAACUACGUGCCAGCAGCCGCGGUAAUACGUAGGGGGCAAGCGUUAUCCGGAUUCACUGGGUGUAAAGGGAGCGUAGACGGCCAAGCAAGCCAGGGGUGAAAGCCCGGGGCCCAACCCCGGGACUGCCCUUGGAACUGCUUGGCUGGAGUGCGGGAGGGGCAGGCGGAAUUCCUGGUGUAGCGGUGAAAUGCGUAGAUAUCAGGAGGAACACCGGCGGCGAAGGCGGCCUGCUGGACCGCGACUGACGUUGAGGCUCGAAAGCGUGGGGAGCGAACAGGAUUAGAUACCCUCGUACA